UACGGAGGGUGCAAGCGUUAUCCGGAUUCACUGGGUUUAAAGGGUGCGUAGGCGGAUAGGUAAGUCCGUGGUGAAAUCCUGCAGCUUAACUGCAGAACUGCCGUGGAUACUAUCUAUCUUGAAUGUCGUGGAGGUUAGCGGAAUAUGUCACGUAGCGGUGAAAUGCUUAGAUAUGACAUAGAACACCCAUUGCGAAGGCAGCUAACUACGCGAUAAUUGACGCUGAUGCACGAAAGCGUGGGGAUCAAACAGG
This 253-nucleotide ribosomal RNA is filed under the name uncultured bacterium. RNAcentral's name for it is "partial 16S ribosomal RNA". It matches the Rfam family "Bacterial small subunit ribosomal RNA", at positions 524 to 776 of the family's 1533-position model. The record is from RNAcentral.